This 2274-nucleotide long non-coding RNA is filed under the name Sorghum bicolor (sorghum). RNAcentral describes it as "long non-coding RNA (SBIC_LNC006305)". The record is from RNAcentral. Lineage: Eukaryota; Viridiplantae; Streptophyta; Magnoliopsida; Poales; Poaceae.
GCACGUUAAUAUGCCAAGUUGCUAUUUUUGCCAAGUUAAUUUGUCCAACUGUUGGAGGCAAUUUUUUCUUGUUUUGCCAAAAUUAUAUGGAUGACAAAUUAUUUUGCCAAACUCUUGGAGAUGCAUGUUUAGUUCCCAAAAAGUUUUGUAAUAUUUUUUAAUUCUCCGUCACAUCGAAUCUUGUGGCACAUAUAUGAAGUAUUAAAUAUAGAUUAAAAAAUAACUAAUUGCACUAUUUAUAUGUAAUUUGUGAGACGAAUCUUUUGAGCCUAGUUAGUCUAUGAUUGGAUAAUAUUUAUCAAAUACAAACAAAAGUGUUACGGUGUCCAUUUUGAUAAUUGUUUACAACUAAACAAGGCCUAAAUCAAAAGGGAUAGCCAAAGGGAUUUAAAGACUCCGUUCGCUUAUCUUGUAAGCUGUAUUUUUUUUAUCAGCCAACAAUAUUUUUUUAAAAAAUAAAUCAACGAAUAGUAAUUUCAGUCAUGAUUUUUUAGACAAGCAUGAGUUUAAUUCUAGGACUAAUGGGUGCAGAUUAAAAGUAACCUAGUUUUUUUUGUUGGGUUGAACUUAUCUCACGUUUGGUUAGGGAAUGGGAUUAUCCCACAUUUUCUGUUUGGUUAGAGAUAGAUAUGGGUUGACAAGUGGGUCUCGCACAUAAGCCACUCAAACAUCAUCUUCUACCUCCCAACGAGUCUCGACAAGCAAAGUCCUGUUGUUCCUUCGCGUAAGCAUGGUUCCCCGGCGUACGAUGUGCUGCUCCUCCGCCUGCAUGGCACGUAGGCGGCUCGCCCUACUGCUCUUCCGUCAGAUCCCGGCUCGCUAGUGGCUACCCGGCUGUCGUGCGCUACUGAGGAGAUGCAUGCGCUCGAUGUUUUUUUUUUCACCGAAGUCAGCACGCAAGUCCCAUUUUAUUUUUUUUAAUAAUGCAGAUCGGUUUAAAUUGUUUUUUACCGAAGUCAGCAAAGAAAACACCAGCCUAUUUUUUUAUUUUUUAAUAAUAACCUGUUUAAAUUCGCUCCCUUUCGCAGCAUGCGCUCGAUGUGGGUGGCGAAAUAGCCAUCUUGGUCCUUAAACUAUCGCAUGAGGCUCAAAUUGGUCCCUCAACUUUCAAAACAUCCAUUUUAGUCCCUAAACAAUUGGUUUUUGGUCAAUCUCGUCUAUUGCUGUUAACUAAUCGCCACAUGUCUAGAAAGUCAUGCAAAAAGUCAUUCCUGCCCCUUACUCCAUCAUUUAUGCAUUCAAAGAGAAAAACUAUGACCUGUUAGAUGCAUUCAAAGAAAAAACUACGAACACGUCAAUCUCGUGCUUGUCUUCACGUUAGAUUUGGGUGCCAAAAGGCAGAGCAGCUCUCCUCACAAAAAAACUAUGAACACGUUCGAUGCAUUCAAAGAAAAAAUAUAGUUUCAAGCCAAUGAUAUUAAUGCCUUUGUAUCACCUAAUCAUUUGUUUAUGAACACUUGUCUUUGUUAUGUCAAAACAUGAGACAAUAUGACAGACAUUGUUAGGAAUUUGUUUCUGCAUAAGGCAUCUAUUGCGAGACCUGAGAUAAGGAGAGGGGAAACAGGGAGGAAACGGUGGACGAGAACGCUGUGAAGACUAGGCGGCUCAGAAAGGAUGGGCGAGGGGCAGCAAUGACUUUUGGCAUGACCUCCUAAACACGUGGCGAUUAGUUAACGGCGAUGGAUGAGAUUGACCCGAAAAUCGAUUGUUUAGGGACUAAACUGGGCGUUUUGAAAGUUGAGGGACUAAAUUGAGCCUCGAGUGAUAGUUUAAGGAUAAAGAUGGCUAUUUCGCCGAUGUCGGUCGACCCCGUUCGCUCGAUUUUGCGGUGUCCUGGGAACCUGCAUCUACGGGGAACACUGAUUCAAACACCUAGAAAAAAUGGUCCAACCUACUCCCUCCAUCCAAACACAUGUUUAAAGAUUUCUGUAAAACUCUAGUUGGGAGUCCCAAAUCUCCACAUCCACACUAAUAAUCUAAAUCACCGAAGGCUUACUUCACUAACGCACUAAUCAUCAUCUAAGAGUAUCUCCGAAAGUUUUUUUUAAAAAAACUUACUCUCUAAAUCAUUAUUUAGAGUUAUUUGCAUAAAAAUGUUUUGUAUACCUUUCCGUUUCUUCUUCUUGUUGUUGUUAGGGCACUCACAAUGCAGACUCUAUCGUAGAGUCUAAAGUUAUUUAUUACCUCGAACAAUGUGGACUUGGAGUCUAAAUAAGACUUGGAGUCUUAUUUUUUCUACCUCUUUCUUCAAUAAAUAUACUGCCACAUCAGCAA